RNAcentral lists this long non-coding RNA (802 nucleotides) under Heterocephalus glaber (naked mole-rat). RNAcentral describes it as "lncRNA (ENSHGLG00100039176.1)". Lineage: Eukaryota; Metazoa; Chordata; Mammalia; Rodentia; Bathyergidae. The record is from RNAcentral.
CCGCGUCUAUGUUGUGCGUAACCCAACUUCUCGGGGCUUCGGUUUCCUUACCUCACAAUGGAAAGGUAUCGCUCAGGAUUCCAUCAGCACACUGCGGGAACUGACCUGGUUGGAUUAAGGAACUUUCAGAAGGACUUUAAGUAAUACUGGAUAACUCACAGAAGUCCGGAGAAAGCCACAGUCCAGGUCUGGGACUUCUGCGCCAAGAACACCAAAAAUCACACAGCAAAAUGAAACCACGCCAGAUUCAGGCUCCGGAAUGAGCCAGUCUGACUAGGGAAGAUGCGGAUAAAGCAGCGGAUGAGAACAUUUGGCGGUGACGGCUCCAUGGUGAGGGCUGGCCUCUGCUCCGGGAAUGGCAGAGUCGGCUAGGAGGGCCGGGGCCUCACUGCCCCGAAUGUCCGCCCCAGUGGCCCUCGGUAAUUGUUGCAUGUCCGCCAACAAGCACGUGAGAUGACUGUAGGUGGAAUGUACACGAAGCCGUGCUAUCGUUGCUGGGAAAGUACACACAAGGUACGCAGUGUGUCAAGCUUGUCUUUUGUGUAGAAGCUUCAGAUCUACUGCUUUUAUGCAAAAGAUUUGUGCACAGAAUGCAACAAUUAAAAGAAGAAUCUUGAUCAUCUCACCAGGGCUGAGGUUUCUGCAGAGAAAUCUUCCCUCCUGAAGUACUCCCACCCCGUUUUUCCUCAAGAUUUACCAGAGGAAGCUAAAAGAAUUCUGGAAGUCCCUUCUUAACAAAGCCUGGCUUCCAAGACUUCUGUCUUGCUCAGACUCAAAAAUACUAUAUUGUUUUUAAAAGCGG